This 203-nucleotide ribosomal RNA is filed under the name uncultured bacterium. Its description in RNAcentral is "partial 16S ribosomal RNA". It matches the Rfam family "Bacterial small subunit ribosomal RNA", at positions 28 to 229 of the family's 1533-position model. The record is from RNAcentral.
GACGAACGCUGGCGGCGUGCCUAACACAUGCAAGUCUGGGAGAAAGGGGUAGCAAUAUCCCGAGUACACCGGCGAACGGGUGAGUAACACGUGGGUGACCUGCCCUCAGCUCUGGGAUAAGCCUGGGAAACCGGGUCUAAUACUGGAUAUGACUCCAUGACGCAUGUUGUGGGGUGGAAAGCCCUUGUGCGGCUGAGGGAGUC